AUUUAAGUAGUUUAUAUUCAAAAUUUUGAUUUGUGGUGUCAGAGAAGCAUUUAAAAUGCCUUAGAUU
Molecule: transfer RNA, 67 nt
Filed under: Conocephalus maculatus (maculated rice katydid)
Lineage: Eukaryota; Metazoa; Arthropoda; Insecta; Orthoptera; Tettigoniidae
Description: tRNA-His
Source: RNAcentral